Molecule: ribosomal RNA, 253 nt
Filed under: uncultured bacterium
Lineage: Bacteria
Description: partial 16S ribosomal RNA
Rfam family: Bacterial small subunit ribosomal RNA
Source: RNAcentral
UACGUAGGUGGCAAGCGUUAUCCGGAUUUACUGGGUGUAAAGGGCGUGUAGCCGGGAAGGCAAGUCAGAUGUGAAAUCCGGAGGCUCAACCUCCGAAUUGCAUUUGAAACUGUUUUUCUUGAGUACUGGAGAGGCAGACGGAAUUCCUAGUGUAGCGGUGAAAUGCGUAGAUAUUAGGAGGAACACCAGUGGCGAAGGCGGUCUGCUGGACAGCAACUGACGCUGAGGCGCGAAAGCGUGGGGAGCAAACAGG